RNAcentral lists this ribosomal RNA (292 nucleotides) under uncultured bacterium. RNAcentral describes it as "partial 16S ribosomal RNA". It matches the Rfam family "Bacterial small subunit ribosomal RNA", at positions 505 to 796 of the family's 1533-position model. The record is from RNAcentral.
GUGCCAGCAGCCGCGGUAAUACGUAGGGUGCGAGCGUUAAUCGGAAUUACUGGGCGUAAAGCGUGCGCAGGCGGUUUGUUAAGCUUGCUGUGAAAGCCCCGGGCUCAACCUGGGAAUUGCAGUGAGGACUGGCAGACUGGAGUGUGGCAGAGGGGGGUGGAAUUCCACGUGUAGCAGUGAAAUGCGUAGAGAUGUGGAGGAACACCGAUGGCGAAGGCAGCCCCCUGGGCUAACACUGACGCUCAGGCACGAAAGCGUGGGGAGCAAACAGGAUUAGAUACCCGAGUAGUCC